RNAcentral lists this long non-coding RNA (355 nucleotides) under Capra hircus (goat). Its description in RNAcentral is "lncRNA (ENSCHIG00000007194.1)". Lineage: Eukaryota; Metazoa; Chordata; Mammalia; Artiodactyla; Bovidae. The record is from RNAcentral.
UUUCUCUAUAUUAAAUUUUAUCUUUCUAGAUUUAGGCCUGAAUAUCCUGUAGAAGACUUUAAGUUUGGAUUCUGCUACCUACUGGAUAUGCUGCAGUUUGCUGAUAGAGAUUCUUUUUGGAAACAUUUGGACAGCUAACCAACAGUCUUAGGUUGGAUGCAAGAAGACAUCAAAACACCAGCGAUGAACGUAUCAUGAGAGGACAGAGCGUCAUCAUGCAAAAAGUUACCCAGACUUUAAUGGUUCCCUGAUCACUUGAGCCUUCCCAGAAAAUGAGGACUGCCCUCAAGGACUCUGCCUCCAUUUCCAGGUACCAUUUAAGCCAUUAAGCCUUCUUUCUCUUGUGGUCUUUGCU